This is a non-coding RNA of Styela clava, 496 nucleotides long. The record is from RefSeq and is a predicted model, not a curated record. Lineage: Eukaryota; Metazoa; Chordata; Ascidiacea; Stolidobranchia; Styelidae.
UCCACAGAGCCUCUGUUUGUUUAAGCUUCGUCCAAAGUGACUAUACCACUUUUUAGUCACUUUGGCUUCGUCAGUCUGCUAAUCAGGUUUUGUUCGUCAAUUUGUUUGGAGUUUGUUACUGUUUUAUAUUUUAUCAAGAUUGGACAAAUCAAAGAUACUGGAAGAUAUUGACGUUAUGCUGGUGUCAUCAGCGAAAAGUUUGAAUAUUCCUGAGUUACAGUUAACUACAUCAUUUAUAUAAACAAGAAAAAGGGUUGGGCCGAGAACUGAGCCCUGGGGCACGCCAACAGAAACAAGUUCAUGAGGUGAUUCAUUGGCAGAGACAGUGACAAAUUGAUUUCGACCGUGCAGAUUUAUAAACGGGAACAACUCUGGCAACCUUAAGAUGAUCUGGAAAUAUACCAAAAGAAACAGAGUAAUUGAAUAGUUUGCAGAGAACUGGACUAAUUGUACUGUACUAAUUGUACUGAAUUUAUCCUGCAUCAGUAAAAUUUUA